CCCAGCCCUACGGGGUGCAGCAGUUAGGAAUUUUCUGCAAUGUACGAAAGUAUGACAGAUUGAGUCAGAGUGCUUUUCAUAUGAAAAGCUUUUGCCAAAUGUAAAAAGUUUGGCGAAUAAGGACUGGGUAAGACGAGUGCCAGCCGCCGCGGUAAUACUCGCGGUCCAAGUCGCAGCCAUCAUUAUUGGGUCUAAAACAUCCGUAGCUUGCUUAAUAAGUUUCUUGUGAAAUUCCAUGUCUCAAAUAUGGAGCGGGCAAGAAGUACUGUUAAGCUAGAGACUGGAAGACGUAAGAAGUACGUUUGGAGUAGCGGUAAAAUGUGUUAAUCCCAGACGGACUAACAACAGCGAAGGCAUCUUACGAGGACAGUUCUGACAGUAAGGGAUGAAGGCUAGGGGCGCAAAAGGGAUUAGAUACCCCUGUAGUCCUAGCAGUAAACACUGCACACUAAACAUUAGUACCUCCUCGAGAGGUGUUAGUGCUGAAGAGAAGUCGAAGAGUGUGCUACCUGGGAAGUAUAGUCGCAAGGCUGAAACUUAAAGGAAUUGGCGGGGAGACACUACAACGGGUGACGCGUGCGGUUCAAUUAGAUUCUACACCGUGAACCUCACCAGGAGCGACAGCAGGAUGAAGGUCAGUCGAAGUUACC
Molecule: ribosomal RNA, 650 nt
Filed under: uncultured archaeon
Lineage: Archaea
Description: bacterial SSU rRNA
Rfam family: Archaeal small subunit ribosomal RNA
Source: RNAcentral